Molecule: ribosomal RNA, 274 nt
Filed under: uncultured bacterium
Lineage: Bacteria
Description: partial 16S ribosomal RNA
Rfam family: Bacterial small subunit ribosomal RNA
Source: RNAcentral
AUACGGAGGGUGCAAGCGUUACUCGGAAUCACUGGGCGUAAAGCGCGCGCAGGCGGGCUGAUAAGUUGGAUGUGAAAGCCUACGGCUCAACCGUAGAACUGCAUCCAAAACUGUCAGUCUAGAGUGUGGGAGAGGAAGAUAGAAUUAGUUGUGUAGGGGUAAAAUCCGUAGAGAUAACUAGGAAUACCAAAAGCGAAGGCAAUCUUCUGGAACACUACUGACGCUGAGGCGCGAAGGCGUGGGGAGCAAACAGGAUUAGAAACCCCAGUAGUCC